Molecule: ribosomal RNA, 253 nt
Filed under: uncultured bacterium
Lineage: Bacteria
Description: partial 16S ribosomal RNA
Rfam family: Bacterial small subunit ribosomal RNA
Source: RNAcentral
GACAGAGGGGGCAAGCGUUGCUCGGAAUUACUGGGCGGAAAGGGCGCGUAGGCGGGAUGGCAAGUCGGUCGUGAAAUCCUUCGGCUCAACCGAAGAACGUCGAUCGAUACUGCUGUUCUUGAGGGUUGCAGAGGAGACUGGAAUUCCCGGUGUAGCGGUGAAAUGUGUAGAGAUCGGGAGGAACACCAGUGGCGAAGGCGGGUCUCUGGACAGUUCCUGACGCUGAGGCACGAAGGUCAGGGGAGCAAACGGG